Molecule: long non-coding RNA, 1072 nt
Organism: Arabidopsis lyrata subsp. lyrata
Lineage: Eukaryota; Viridiplantae; Streptophyta; Magnoliopsida; Brassicales; Brassicaceae
Exons: 5
Source: RefSeq, a predicted model, not a curated record
CAUUUGGGGGUUUCUUGUGCGGAAAUGGUGACGGAGACGGAGGAGUAGGGUUAGGGUUGUUAGAUUUGGGGUUUUCUUAUUGGAGAGAAAUGGAGACGGAGAAGAAGAAGAUGAAGCAGAUUUGCCAAAGAAAGAGUUGUAUCUCCGGUGGUGGAUGAUGGGUUUAAAGUAAUUUUGAUUUUGUUUGGUAUCGUAGUUCAAAGUUGAAUUUUAAUGUUCUUUCCUUGUGUUCUUUGUUUUGUUACAGGAAAUCGAAGAUUCAUGUCCCGCCACCAUUCCCAACUACUUGUUCAUCCCCGCCGUCACCUCCGCCACCGUCUUCCUCCUCGCCACGCUCAAUAAGUUAUGACUCUACUAAUUGUUAGUUCCUUUCUAACAUUGCUUAAAGUUUCACUCUUUGAGGUUAUUUAGUAUACACAAUGAACUUAUUUUGUUUGACAUAAUGCCUCAAUGUGAAUUUUGUUUCUGAUUCUAGAUGUUUUAUGAAUUAAACUUAUUCGUUUAUGAGAAGGAAGCUAAGGAGAUGUUAAAGAUAGAAAAUUUGAGGGUCUUGACGUCAAUAAAGAAGAUUUGUUGGAUCAAUCCCUUGAUGUGCUCUAUGAGAAAGAGUUCGAUGAGAGAUUGGCCUUCAUUGUUGCCGCAUUCAACAGGGACUUGCAGCAUGAGUUUAUAGAAAAGAGGUUGAGUUUUUUUGUUUUUUUAGGAGGCAUAAAAUUAAGAGAAAGCACGGAAGAAAGUUACUUCCACCAAAGAAUGCAACUAACAUAGAAGUUAAAUCCAAAUGUGUUAUAACCCCUUAGCAAAGUGAGAAGCUGAAAAGAGUGGCUUCGCUACAAGUAAGAAAGGCUUAACCUUGAAGGAGAACAAACUUCCUAUCACAAUGCUAAAGUUUGCAAAGGUACUAGAGGAAAUCAUCAUCAUUGGUUGAAUGUGAAACUCCUUGCUCCCCUUCUUAGCUUGGGAUCUUGAUCAGCUGCUCCAAAACACAAACAACAGGAACAACUUGACCAUGGGCGGAGGAAUAAGGAACGCUAGUAAGGUUUUAAGAAGUUUUUUCUUUUCCCCUUAUGAU